GGUUCCAUGGUGUAAUGGUUAGCAUUCAAGACUCUGAAUCUUGCGAUUCGAGUUCUUAUCUCGAUGGAACAU
This 72-nucleotide transfer RNA is filed under the name Dreissena polymorpha. It matches the Rfam family "tRNA". Rfam says of the family: Transfer RNA (tRNA) molecules are approximately 80 nucleotides in length. Their secondary structure includes four short double-helical elements and three loops (D, anti-codon, and T loops). Further hydrogen bonds mediate the characteristic L-shaped molecular structure. tRNAs have two regions of fundamental functional importance: the anti-codon, which is responsible for specific mRNA codon recognition, and the 3' end, to which the tRNAs corresponding amino acid is attached (by aminoacyl-tRNA synthetases). tRNAs cope with the degeneracy of the genetic code in two manners: having more than one tRNA (with a specific anti-codon) for a particular amino acid; and 'wobble' base-pairing, i.e. permitting non-standard base-pairing at the 3rd anti-codon position. Lineage: Eukaryota; Metazoa; Mollusca; Bivalvia; Myida; Dreissenidae. The record is from Rfam by way of RNAcentral.